AGCGCUGUUCCUCCUUGGCUUGUGCUGUCUCCCUGGUUUGGAUAUUUGUUCUCUCAGGAUGUUUAUCUGAGACCCAUUUUAUAUUUAAGGCCCCGUUGCAGUCUGCAGUGGUGGCGUGUGUUGGCGUGACUGCAGCAAUCAGACUGUUGUCUUUCUGACAAUGCUAUUUCAACUUCCUGAGAAGUUCUGUACUUUUAAUAUUUUUUAUUUAAAAAGGCAUUUUUCCAUUUUUCCUUUUUGAGUGGUGAAUUACAAAUUUAAAAUCAAAUGCUCUUGUCCCUUUCACCUGUCUGCAUUCCCACAAUGCCCAGCGUCUGGCCCUCUUACAGCCAUCCUCACGUGGACGCAAAGCCCACUCCUGGACCCUCAUCUCUUUUGCAAGCUACAGCC
RNAcentral lists this long non-coding RNA (390 nucleotides) under Marmota monax (woodchuck). The record is from RNAcentral. Lineage: Eukaryota; Metazoa; Chordata; Mammalia; Rodentia; Sciuridae.